This 448-nucleotide long non-coding RNA is filed under the name Gallus gallus (chicken). RNAcentral's name for it is "long non-coding RNA NONGGAT008349". The record is from RNAcentral. Lineage: Eukaryota; Metazoa; Chordata; Aves; Galliformes; Phasianidae.
CCUUGUCAUGCCAUUAGAAAGGGCUAAACUACAUUAAUAAGCAAAAAGUUGACAAGAAGGAGCAGAUGAAUGGCCUGGCCAUGGAUUGCUUCUCGGAACCGCUGCCCGAUGCUGCCAUGGAGCAGGAUGUUACUGGGCAUCCAUCGGUGUAAUGCCAUUACGAGGGAAUUAAAUCUUCAGACUGCAGUGAUGACCCUAAAUUAGGUGAUAGAUUUUGUUAAGUGAUCCCGCAGAACAGCUCUGCAGAGAAAUGAUUGAGAAGUUAAUCUGUUCCGCUGAGAUGAGAAGUGUAUCUUUGUCCUUGGGAAGCUGCAGUCUGUCCAGGCAGUGACCUUCUUGGAGCCGUACCAUUUCUCAGGUAGUACGUGGACACUUUCCCUGUGGAUGAGAAGCAGCAAGUGUUGAAGCUGGCAGUAGGAUAAGGGAGCACGUACAGCCUGUCUGGUGC